UUCUGACUGUGAAGCCGGGCUGUAAGGCAUCCGGUGGAGUGAUCAGAAGUGAGAAUGUUGACAUGAGUAGCGACAAACAGGGUGAGAGACCCUGUCGCCGAAAGUCCAAGGGUUCCUGCUUAAAGCUAAUCUGAGCAGGGUAAGCCGGCCCCUAAGGCGAGGCCGAAAGGCGUAGUCGAUGGGAACCAGGUUAAUAUUCCUGGGCCAGGAGAUGGUGACGGAUCCCAGAGGUAGUUCAUCCUUAUCGGAUUGAAUGGGCUGCUGAGGGGUUCCUGGAAAUAGCCCUCCAUGAGACCGUACCCUAAACCGACACAGGUGGACUGGUAGAGAAUACCAAGGCGCUUGAGAGAACCACAUUUAAGGAACUCGGCAAAAUACCUCCGUAAGUUCGCGAGAAGGAGGCCCCGUUCGUAGGCAACUAUGGGCGGGGGGCACAAACCAGGGGGUGGCGACUGUUUACUAAAAACACAGGGCUCUGCGAAGUCGCAAGACGACGUAUAGGGUCUGACGCCUGCCCGGUGCCGGAAGGUUAAAAGGAGAUGUGCAAGCAUUGAAUUGAAGCCCCGGUAAACGGCGGCCGUAACAAUAACGGUCCUAAGGUAGCGAAAUUCCUUGUCGGGUAAGUUCCGACCUGCACGAAUGGCGUAACGACUUCCCCGCUGUCUCAAAUGUGGACUCAGCGAUAUUGAAUUGUCUGUGAAGAUGCAGACUUCCCGCGGUUAGACGGAAAGACCCCAUGCACCUUUACUAUAGCUUCGCACUGGCAUCAGGAUUGUGAUGUGCAGGAUAGGCGGUAGGCUUUGAAAUCGGGACGCCAGUUCCGAUGGAGCCAUCCUUGAGAUACCGCCCUUCGCACUCUUGAUGUCUAACCGCGGCCCGUUAUCCGGGUCCGGGACCCUGCGUGGUGGGUAGUUUGACUGGGGCGGUCGCCUCCUAAAGAGUAACGGAGGCGCGCGAAGGUUGGCUCAGAGCGGUCGGAAAUCGCUCGUUGAGUGCAAUGGCAGAAGCCAGCCUGACUGCAAGACUGACAAGUCGAGCAGAGUCGAAAGACGGCCAUAGUGAUCCGGUGGUCCCGAGUGGAAGGGCCAUCGCUCAACGGAUAAAAGGUACGCUGGGGAUAACAGGCUGAUGAUGCCCAAGAGUCCAUAUCGACGGCAUCGUUUGGCACCUCGAUGUCGGCUCAUCUCAUCCUGGGGCUGGAGCAGGUCCCAAGGUUACGGCUGUUCGCCGUUUAAAGAGGUACGUGAGCUGGGUUUAGAACGUCGUGAGACAGUCCGGUCCCUAUCUGCCGUGGGUGUAGGAUACUUGAGAGGAGUUGCCCCUAGUACGAGAGGACCGGGGUGAACGUUCCACUGGUGGACCAGUUGUCGUGCCAACGGCAGUGCUGGGUAGCUAUGAACGGACAGGACAAACGCUGAAGGCAUCUAAGCGUGAAGCCCCCCUCAAAACCAGGUAUCCCUUGAGAGCCGUGGAAGACCACCACGUCGAUAGGCCGGAGAUGUAAGCGCAGCAAUGCGUUCAGUUGACCGGUACUAAUGGCUCU
This 1543-nucleotide ribosomal RNA is filed under the name metagenome. Its description in RNAcentral is "bacterial LSU rRNA". It matches the Rfam family "Bacterial large subunit ribosomal RNA", at positions 1239 to 2911 of the family's 2925-position model. The record is from RNAcentral.